RNAcentral lists this ribosomal RNA (460 nucleotides) under uncultured bacterium. RNAcentral's name for it is "partial 16S ribosomal RNA". It matches the Rfam family "Bacterial small subunit ribosomal RNA", at positions 338 to 795 of the family's 1533-position model. The record is from RNAcentral.
CCUACGGGCGGCAGCAGUGAGGAAUAUUGGUCAAUGGACGAGAGUCUGAACCAGCCAAGUAGCGUGAAGGAUGACUGCCCUAUGGGUUGUAAACUUCUUUUAUAAAGGAAUAAAACGAGGCACGUGUGCCUUUUUGCAUGUACCUUAUGAAUAAGGAUCGGCUAACUCCGUGCCAGCAGCCGCGGUAAUACGGAGGAUCCGAGCGUUAUCCGGAUUUAUUGGGUUUAAAGGGAGCGUAGAUGGGUUGUUAAGUCAGUUGUGAAAGUUUGCGGCUCAACCGUAAAAUUGCAGUUGAUACUGGCAGUCUUGAGUGCAGUAGAGGUAGGCGGAAUUCGUGGUGUAGCGGUGAAAUGCAUAGAUAUCACGAAGAACCCCGAUUGCGAAGGCAGCUUACUAAACUGUAACUGACGUUGAUGCACGAAAGUGUGGGUAUCGAACAGGAUUAGAUACCCCAGUAGUC